AGCAGCCGCGGUAAUUCCAGCUCCAAUAGCGUAUAUUAAAGUUGCUGCAGUUAAAAAGCUCGUAGUUGAAUUUCGGGACUAAUAUGUCGGUCGUGCCUCGGUACGUACUGGUAUUUUUGGUUUCUCCCUUCUGACGAACCUUUGAUGUCAUUAAUUUGGUGUCUCGGGAAAUCAGGACUGUUACUUUGAAAAAAUUGAGUGUUUAAAGCAGGCUCACGCUUGAAUACAUUAGCAUGGAAUAAUGAAAUAGGACGUUUGAUUCUAUUUUGUUGGUUUCUAGGAUCGACGUAAUGAUUAAUAGGGAUAGUUGGGGCAUUAGUAUUCAAUUGUCAGAGUGAAAUUCUUGGAUUUAUUGAAGACUAACUACUGACGAAAGCAUUUGACCAAGG
RNAcentral lists this ribosomal RNA (389 nucleotides) under uncultured Glomus. RNAcentral describes it as "SSU rRNA". It matches the Rfam family "Eukaryotic small subunit ribosomal RNA", at positions 569 to 964 of the family's 1831-position model. Lineage: Eukaryota; Fungi; Glomeromycota; Glomeromycetes; Glomerales; Glomeraceae. The record is from RNAcentral.